RNAcentral lists this ribosomal RNA (468 nucleotides) under uncultured bacterium. RNAcentral describes it as "partial 16S ribosomal RNA". It matches the Rfam family "Bacterial small subunit ribosomal RNA", at positions 28 to 507 of the family's 1533-position model. The record is from RNAcentral.
GACGAACGCUGGCGGCGUGCUUAACACAUGCAAGUCGAACGGAAAGGCCCUGCUUUUGUGGGGUGCUCGAGUGGCGAACGGGUGAGUAACACGUGAGUAACCUGCCCUUGACUUUGGGAUAACUUCAGGAAACUGGGGCUAAUACCGGAUAGGAGCUCCUGCUGCAUGGUGGGGGUUGGAAAGUUUCGGCGGUUGGGGAUGGACUCGGGGCUUAUCAGCUUGUUGGUGGAGUAGUGGCUUACCAAGGCUUUGACGGGUAGCCGGCCUGAGAGGGUGACCGGCCACAUUGGGACUGCGAUAGGGCCCAGACUCCUACGGGAGGCAGCAGUGGGGAGUAUUGCACAAUGGGCGGAAGCCUGAUGCAGCAACGCCGCGUGCGGGAUGACGGCCUUCGGGUUGUAAACCGCUUUCGCCUGUGACGAAGCGUGAGUGACGGUAAUGGGUAAAGAAGCACCGGCUAACUACGUG